Molecule: ribosomal RNA, 253 nt
Filed under: uncultured bacterium
Lineage: Bacteria
Description: partial 16S ribosomal RNA
Rfam family: Bacterial small subunit ribosomal RNA
Source: RNAcentral
UACAGAGGUCCCAAGCGUUGUUCGGAUUCACUGGGCGUAAAGGGUGCGUAGGUGGUUGGGUAAGUUUGAUGUGAAAUCUCCGGGCUUAACCCGGAAACUGCAUUGAAUACUAUUCAGCUCGAGGGUUGGAGAGGAGACUGGAAUUCUCGGUGUAGCAGUGAAAUGCGUAGAUAUCGAGAGGAACACCGGUGGCGAAGGCGAGUCUCUGGACAACUCCUGACACUGAGGCACGAAAGCUAAGGGAGCAAACAGG